This 465-nucleotide long non-coding RNA is filed under the name Phoenix dactylifera (date palm). RNAcentral describes it as "long non-coding RNA (PDAC_LNC017049)". Lineage: Eukaryota; Viridiplantae; Streptophyta; Magnoliopsida; Arecales; Arecaceae. The record is from RNAcentral.
AUCUUUGAUGCUCUACUUUAACUUGCUGACAUAUCAAACACCUAGCCACAAAUUGUGCAAUUUCUCUCUUCAUAUUAUUCCACCAAAAUGUACCUUUCAAUUCCUUAUACAUCUUAGUACCCCUAGGAUGCAUUGUAUAUCUAGUAUUAUGAGCUUCCCUCAUAAUUUCAUUCUUUAAAUCAGAGUUAUUUGGAAUACAAAUUCUGUUCCUGUAUCUCAAUGAUCCAUCCUCAUGAAGUCUGAAUUCUGAUUGAAAACCUGAUUCAAUAUCACUUCUAAGCUUUUGCAACUGAGGGUCAUCUGCUUGAGCAAUCCUGAUCCUCUCUAUCAAGGUAGGUUGGACAUGUAGGUUUGCCAAAAGUGCAUCAGGAUCAUGCCAACAUACCUCGAUUUCUGCUCUUCUUAGAUCUUCCAAAAUUCUUCUCUGAGAGGUGAGUAAGGCGGCAAUAGAGGAAAAACCCUCAA